This 530-nucleotide ribosomal RNA is filed under the name uncultured bacterium. RNAcentral describes it as "bacterial SSU rRNA". It matches the Rfam family "Bacterial small subunit ribosomal RNA", at positions 56 to 568 of the family's 1533-position model. The record is from RNAcentral.
UGCAAGUCGAGCGAACCAAUAAGAAGCUUGCUUUUUGUUGGUUAGCGGCGGACGGGUGAGUAACACGUGGGUAACCUGCCUGUAAGACCGGGAUAACUCCGGGAAACCGGUGCUAAUACCGGAUAGAUUAUCUUUCCACCUGGAGAGAUAAGGAAAGAUGGCUUUUGCCAUCACUUACAGAUGGGCCCGCGGCGCAUUAGCUAGUUGGUGAGGUAACGGCUCACCAAGGCGACGAUGCGUAGCCGACCUGAGAGGGUGAUCGGCCACACUGGGACUGAGACACGGCCCAGGCUCCUACGGGAGGCAGCAGUAGGGAAUCUUCCGCAAUGGACGAAAGUCUGACGGAGCAACGCCGCGUGAGUGAAGAAGGUCUUCGGAUCGUAAAGCUCUGUUGUUAGGGAAGAACAAGUAUCGGAGGAAAUGCCGGUACCUUGACGGUACCUGACGAGAAAGCCACGGCUAACUACGUGCCAGCAGCCGCGGUAAUACGUAGGUGGCAAGCGUUGUCGGAAUUAUUGGGCGUAAAGCGC